This 253-nucleotide ribosomal RNA is filed under the name uncultured bacterium. RNAcentral's name for it is "partial 16S ribosomal RNA". It matches the Rfam family "Bacterial small subunit ribosomal RNA", at positions 524 to 776 of the family's 1533-position model. The record is from RNAcentral.
UACGGAGGUUGCAAGCGUUAAUCGGAAUUACUGGGCGUAAAGCACACGCAGGCGGUUGGAUAAGUUAGAUGUGAAAGCCCCGGGCUCAACCUGGGAAUUGCAUUUAAAACUGUCCAGCUAGAGUCUUGUAGAGGGGGGUAGAAUUCCAGGUGUAGCGGUGAAAUGCGUAGAGAUCUGGAGGAAUACAGGUGGCGAAGGCGGCCCCCUGGACAAAGACUGACGCUCAGGUGCGAAAGCGUGGGGAGCAAACAGG